UACGUAGGGUGCGAGCGUUAAUCGGAAUUACUGGGCGUAAAGUGUGCGCAGGCGGCCGCGCAAGUCGAGUGUGAAAGCCCCGAGCUUAACUUGGGAACUGCGCUCGAAACUACGAUGCUCGAGUAUGGCAGAGGAAGGUGGAAUUCCACGUGUAGCGGUGAAAUGCGUAGAGAUGUGGAGGAACACCGAUGGCGAAGGCAGCCUUCUGGGCCAAUACUGACGCUCAUGCACGAAAGCGUGGGGAGCAAACAGG
This 253-nucleotide ribosomal RNA is filed under the name uncultured bacterium. RNAcentral describes it as "partial 16S ribosomal RNA". It matches the Rfam family "Bacterial small subunit ribosomal RNA", at positions 524 to 776 of the family's 1533-position model. The record is from RNAcentral.